RNAcentral lists this transfer RNA (62 nucleotides) under Prosopocoilus confucius. RNAcentral's name for it is "tRNA-Ile". The record is from RNAcentral. Lineage: Eukaryota; Metazoa; Arthropoda; Insecta; Coleoptera; Lucanidae.
AAUAAAGUGCCUGAUCAAAGGGUUGCUUUGAUAGAGCAAAUCACGUGAAACCACCUUUAUUA